Non-coding RNA from Seriola aureovittata, 1423 nucleotides. The record is from the annotation of a RefSeq genome assembly. Lineage: Eukaryota; Metazoa; Chordata; Actinopteri; Carangiformes; Carangidae.
UUUUCAGACAUGCAAAAUGAUCUUGGUGAAACUGGAACAACAGCGGAGUCAAGGUAAAAAGGAUUAAUGAUGCACAGCUUUAAUUUCACAGAAGGUCAGGACUUUUAUGACUGGUUUUAAUCAUUUAAUCAUUUUAGCAGGUAAGAAUCAAAAGCAAAAAGUGUUGCAUGAAGUGUGUCAGUGUUUUUCGAGGGAAACCAAUGAUGGAAAAAAAGCAUAAAAUUCUGUGUUACAUAUUUUUAUCUAAAAAUAUUUGCCCCUCCCCUUGUAAAAUCCCAAUGCAAAUCCAGGCUUUCGAGUGGCUGUACUUCUGUCUUCCCAACGACAAGUCUCAGUGUGAAGCAGCUGAGUUCUCAUCUUCAGUCUCAUCAAGAUGGACAAACUGUCUGUUCUGCUGACAGCGCUCUGUCUGCCCUGUUUGAAUGGCCAGGCUCUGGAGUCCAUUCCCUCCAGUUCAGUACUGAAAAAGCCUCAGGAAGCCCUCAGUCUGUCCUGCAGGGGAACUGGAUUUGUUUUCAGUAGCUAUGGAAUGCACUGGGUCAGACAACCUGCAGGAAAAGCACUGGAAUGGAUGGGGCUUAUUUACUACGAUGCAAGUAAAACCGUAUAUGCCAGCAGUUUGCAAGGACGUAUAGAAAUCACCAAAGAAAACAGCAACAGUAUUGUGCAUCUGAGACUGUCCAGCCUAAAGCUGGAGGACUCGGCUGUGUACUACUGUGCUAGACACACACUGGGUAAAGUGGGGCGAGAGGCUUUACAAAAACCUCAAAUAACCUAUGUUUGCAAUGAUCUGCAGGGGGCAGCAGCAGAUCAGAAACAGCAACUGUUUGGCAUCUCACUUACACAAACAAAGGAAAACACACAAUGUGAAGCAUCAGUUGAGGAUGUGGUUUGCGACUUCCUCAUUCUUUGGCUUCUUACCAGCCUGUGCUUUUCUACAGCAAUUUAGUGGUUAAUAAUAUUCCCAUCAGGCAUGAAUGAAACAUUUGUUCUGUUAUAAUUCAACUGCCACAAACUAUAACUGCUGAAUAAUGGUUCAAAGGUCACCAAUCAAACACAUAAUGAAUGAAAAAAAAAGAUGAUGAACACAAAACUGUUUGCAAGAUGUAACAAUUAGGUCUCAUCCAGGAGAGGGAAAACAUUUGGCUCUAUGUGAUUUUUUCUUUUUAAAUGUUUUGUUCACCUGUUGAGGGAAUAAAGCUGAUUUAACAAGCAUCUCCGACAGCCCAUCAAGAUCAGACUCAAACCUUCCCCUGCCAGGUCUAAAAACUCACAGAAGCUGCAGCACAGAUUAGAAGGACUGAGACAAAUAUGAUGAGUUAUGAAUUGGAUUGGAACCAGUCUAACUUCCUUUUAUACUCUGCCAAUUUCAUUCUCUAUGCAAAGUGAACCUCCUCACAGUCUGCUAUAAAGACUUGAUAUC